This 253-nucleotide ribosomal RNA is filed under the name uncultured bacterium. RNAcentral's name for it is "partial 16S ribosomal RNA". It matches the Rfam family "Bacterial small subunit ribosomal RNA", at positions 524 to 776 of the family's 1533-position model. The record is from RNAcentral.
UACGUAGGGUGCAAGCAUUAAUCGGAUUUAUUGGGCGUAAAGGACGCGUAGGCGGGCUGUUAAGUCAGAUGUGAAAGCCCGGAGCUCAACUCCGGAACAGCAUUUGAAACUAACGAUCUAGAGGGUAGACGGAGAAAACGGAAUUCCACAAGUAGCGGUGAAAUGCGUAGAUAUGUGGAAGAACACCAGUGGCGAAGGCGGUUUUCUAGUUUAUACCUGACGCUGAUGCGUGAAAGCAAGGGGAGCAAACAGG